CGGACGGGUGAGUAAAGCCUAGGAAUCUGCCUGGUAGUGGGGGACAACGACUCGAAAGGGUCGCUAAUACCGCAUACGUCCUACGGGAGAAAGUGGGGGAUCUUCGGACCUCACGCUAUCAGAUGAGCCUAGGUCGGAUUAGCUAGUAGGUGAGGUAAUGGCUCACCUAGGCGACGAUCCGUAACUGGUCUGAGAGGAUGAUCAGUCACACUGGAACUGAGACACGGUCCAG
This 232-nucleotide ribosomal RNA is filed under the name uncultured bacterium. RNAcentral describes it as "partial 16S ribosomal RNA". It matches the Rfam family "Bacterial small subunit ribosomal RNA", at positions 99 to 334 of the family's 1533-position model. The record is from RNAcentral.